AACCGCCGUAUACGGAACCGUACGUACGGUGGUGUGGGAGGUCAGGUAGCGAAAUAAUCGCUACCUACCUACCCGAU
This 77-nucleotide non-coding RNA is filed under the name Arachidicoccus rhizosphaerae. Lineage: Bacteria; Pseudomonadati; Bacteroidota; Chitinophagia; Chitinophagales; Chitinophagaceae. The record is from RNAcentral.